This 249-nucleotide ribosomal RNA is filed under the name uncultured bacterium. RNAcentral describes it as "partial 16S ribosomal RNA". It matches the Rfam family "Bacterial small subunit ribosomal RNA", at positions 88 to 334 of the family's 1533-position model. The record is from RNAcentral.
UAACCUAGUGGCAGACGGGUGAGUAACACGUGGUCAACCUUCCCCUUUAGUGGGGGAUAACUAGCCGAAAGGUUAGCUAAUACCGCAUACAAUCUAUAUCCGGCAUCGGAAGUAGAUAAAAGGAGCAAUCCGCUUAAGGACGGGACCGCGUCCCAUUAGUUAGUUGGUGGGGUAAUGGCCUACCAAGACUCCGAUGGGUAGCUGGUUUGAGAGAGCGACUAGCCACACUGGGACUGAGAAACGGCCCAG